AAACUCAAAUGAAUUGACGGGGGCCCGCACAAGCGGUGGAGCAUGUGGUUUAAUUCGAUGCAACGCGAAGAACCUUACCUACUCUUGACAUCCAGCGAAUCCUUUAGAGAUAGAGGAGUGCCUUCGGGAACGCUGAGACAGGUGCUGCAUGGCUGUCGUCAGCUCGUGUUGUGAAAUGUUGGGUUAAGUCCCGCAACGAGCGCAACCCUUAUCCUUUGUUGCCAGCACGUGAUGGUGGGAACUCAAAGGAGACUGUCGGUGAUAAACCGGAGGAAGGUGGGGAUGACGUCAAGUCAUCAUGGCCCUUACGAGUAGGGCUACACACGUGCUACAAUGGCAGAUACAAAGAGAAGCGACCUCGCGAGAGCAAGCGGAACUCAUAAAGUCUGUCGUAGUCCGGAUUGGAGUCUGCAACUCGACUCCAUGAAGUCGGAAUCGCUAGUAAUCGUAGAUCAGAAUGCUACGGUGAAUACGUUCCCGGGCCUUGUACACACCGCCCGU
This 501-nucleotide ribosomal RNA is filed under the name Proteus mirabilis. RNAcentral's name for it is "bacterial SSU rRNA". It matches the Rfam family "Bacterial small subunit ribosomal RNA", at positions 897 to 1397 of the family's 1533-position model. Lineage: Bacteria; Pseudomonadati; Pseudomonadota; Gammaproteobacteria; Enterobacterales; Morganellaceae. The record is from RNAcentral.